CCUACGGGUGGCAGCAGUAGGGAAUUUUCGGCAAUGGGGGGAACCCUGACCGAGCAACGCCGCGUGAACGAAGAAGUUAUUCGUAAUGUAAAGUUCUUUUAACAGGGAAGAAAGAGAAAUUUGACGGUACCUGAAGAAUAAGCUCCGGCUAACUAGGUGCCAGCAGCCGCGUUAAUACGUAGUGAGCGAGCGUUAUCCGGAAUUAUUGGGCGUAAAGGGUGCGUAGAUGGCAUAGUAAGUCUUUUGUAAAAAUGCUGGGCUCAACCCAGUAGGGCAAAAGAUACUGCAAAGCUAGAGUAUGACAGAGGCGAGUGGAACUACAUGUGUAGCGGUAAAAUGCGUAGAUAUAUGUAAGAACACCAGUGGCGAAGGCGGCUUGCUGGGUCGAUACUGACAUUGAGGCACGAAAGCGUGGGGAGCAAACAGGAUUAGAUACCCGGGUAGUC
This 446-nucleotide ribosomal RNA is filed under the name uncultured bacterium. RNAcentral describes it as "partial 16S ribosomal RNA". It matches the Rfam family "Bacterial small subunit ribosomal RNA", at positions 338 to 795 of the family's 1533-position model. The record is from RNAcentral.